RNAcentral lists this transfer RNA (70 nucleotides) under Chitinophaga pinensis DSM 2588. Its description in RNAcentral is "tRNA-His (GTG) (tRNA-His-GTG-2-1)". It matches the Rfam family "tRNA". From Rfam's summary of the family: Transfer RNA (tRNA) molecules are approximately 80 nucleotides in length. Their secondary structure includes four short double-helical elements and three loops (D, anti-codon, and T loops). Lineage: Bacteria; Pseudomonadati; Bacteroidota; Chitinophagia; Chitinophagales; Chitinophagaceae. The record is from RNAcentral.
AACGGGGUAGCUCAGUUGGUAGAGCGAAAGAUUGUGAAUCUAUGGGUCACAGGUUCGAUUCCUGUCCCUG